Molecule: ribosomal RNA, 165 nt
Filed under: uncultured bacterium
Lineage: Bacteria
Description: partial 16S ribosomal RNA
Rfam family: Bacterial small subunit ribosomal RNA
Source: RNAcentral
UCGCCCUUUGACAGYAGUCGNGGUAAUACGGAGGAUGCMAGCGUUAUCCCGGAAUCAUBGGGUUUAAAGGGUYCGUANGCGGCCAAAUAAGUCAGUGGUGAAUAGCCGNGUGCUCAACGGGGGAACGGCCAUUGGAUACUGUUUGGCUUUGAAUUAUUAGGGAAG